This 492-nucleotide ribosomal RNA is filed under the name uncultured bacterium. Its description in RNAcentral is "partial 16S ribosomal RNA". It matches the Rfam family "Bacterial small subunit ribosomal RNA", at positions 29 to 507 of the family's 1533-position model. The record is from RNAcentral.
AGUGAACGCUGGCGGUAGGCCUAACACAUGCCAGUCGAACGGCAGCACAGUAAGAGCUUGCUCUUACGGGUGGCGAGUGGCGGACGGGUGAGGAAUACAUCGGAAUCUACUUUUUCGUGGGGGAUAACGUAGGGAAACUUACGCUAAUACCGCAUACGACCUACGGGUGAAAGCAGGGGAUCUUCGGACCUUGCGCGAUUGAAUGAGCCGAUGUCGGAUUAGCUAGUUGGCGGGGUAAAGGCCCACCAAGGCGACGAUCCGUAGCUGGUCUGAGAGGAUGAUCAGCCACACUGGAACUGAGACACGGUCCAGACUCCUACGGGAGGCAGCAGUGGGGAAUAUUGGACAAUGGGCGCGAGCCUGAUCCAGCCAUACCGCGUGGGUGAAGAAGGCCUUCGGGUUGUAAAGCCCUUUUGUUGGGAAGGAAAAGCAGCAGGUUAAUACCCCGCUGUUCUGACGGUACCCAAAGAAUAAGCACCGGCUAACUUCGUG